GCUGGGCAUGGUGGUGCAUGCCUGUAUUCCCAGUCUCUAGGAGGCUGAGGUGGGAGGAUCACCAAUUCAAGGCCAGCCUCAGCAACUUAUCGAGUCCCUAAGAAACUUUGUGAGACCCUGUCUCAA
RNAcentral lists this small RNA (126 nucleotides) under Marmota monax (woodchuck). The record is from RNAcentral. Lineage: Eukaryota; Metazoa; Chordata; Mammalia; Rodentia; Sciuridae.